AGCUGCUAAUACUGGAUAUUCAUCGUCUCCUUCCUGGGGGGUGGUGGAAAGCUCCGGCGGUCAGGGAUGGGCUCGCGGCCUAUCAGCUUGUUGGUGAGGUAAUGGCUCACCAAGGCUUUGACGGGUAGCCGGCCUGAGAGGGCGACCGGCCACACUGGGACUGAGAUACGGCCCAGACUCCUACGGGAGGCAGCAGUGGGGAAUAUUGCACAAUGGGCGCAAGCCUGAUGCAGCAACGCCGCGUGCGGGAUGACGGCCUUCGGGUUGUAAACCGCUUUCAGUAGGGACGAAGGGUGACUGACGGUACCUACAGAAGAAGGACCGGCUAACUACGUGCCAGCAGCCGCGGUGAUACGUAGGGUCCGAGCGUUGUCCGGAAUUAUUGGGCGUAAAGGGCUUGUAGGCGGU
Molecule: ribosomal RNA, 408 nt
Filed under: Friedmanniella sp.
Lineage: Bacteria; Bacillati; Actinomycetota; Actinomycetes; Propionibacteriales; Nocardioidaceae
Description: bacterial SSU rRNA
Rfam family: Bacterial small subunit ribosomal RNA
Source: RNAcentral